RNAcentral lists this ribosomal RNA (1003 nucleotides) under uncultured bacterium. RNAcentral's name for it is "bacterial SSU rRNA". It matches the Rfam family "Bacterial small subunit ribosomal RNA", at positions 353 to 1371 of the family's 1533-position model. The record is from RNAcentral.
AGUGAGGAAUAUUGCACAAUGGGGGAAACCCUGGAUGCAGCAACGCCGCGUGGAGGAUGACGCAUUUCGGUGUGUAAACUCCUUUUAUAUGUCAAGAAAAUGACGGUAGCAUAUGAAUAAGCACCGGCUAACUCCGUGCCAGCAGCCGCGGUAAUACGGAGGGUGCAAGCGUUACUCGGAAUCACUGGGCGUAAAGGACGCGUAGGCGGGUUGGAAAGUCAGAUGUGAAAUCCUACAGCUUAACUGUAGAACUGCAUUUGAAACUUCUAAUCUAGAGUAUGGGAGGGGGAGAUGGAAUUAGUGGUGUAGGGGUAAAAUCCGUAGAUAUCACUAGGAAUACCGAAAGCGAAGGCGAUCUCCUGGAACAUAACUGACGCUAAGGCGUGAAAGCGUGGGGAGCAAACAGGAUUAGAUACCCUGGUAGUCCACGCCCUAAACGAUGAACACUAGUCGUCGGGAUGCUAGUCAUCUCGGUGAUGCACUUAACAGAUUAAGUGUUCCGCCUGGGGAGUACGGUCGCAAGAUUAAAACUCAAAGGAAUAGACGGGGACCCGCACAAGUGGUGGAGCAUGUGGUUUAAUUCGAAGAUACGCGAAGAACCUUACCUAGCCUUGACAUUGAUUGAACACACUAGAGAUAGAGUGGUGCCCUUCGGGGAACAUGAAAACAGGUGCUGCACGGCUGUCGUCAGCUCGUGUCGUGAGAUGUUGGGUUAAGUCCCGCAACGAGCGCAACCCUCGUCCUUAGUUGCUAGCAGUUCGGCUGAGCACUCUAAGGAGACUGCCUUCGUAAGGAGGAGGAAGGUGAGGACGACGUCAAGUCAUCAUGGCCCUUAUGGCUAGGGCUACACACGUGCUACAAUGGGGCGUACAGAGUGUUGCGAUACCGCGAGGUGGAGCUAAUCACUUAAAGCGUCUCUCAGUUCGGAUUGGAGUCUGCAACUCGACUCCAUGAAGCGGGAAUCACUAGUAAUCGUAGAUCAGCAAUGCUACGGUGAAUACGU